RNAcentral lists this long non-coding RNA (1488 nucleotides) under Struthio camelus australis. RNAcentral describes it as "lncRNA (ENSSCUG00000009679.1)". The record is from RNAcentral. Lineage: Eukaryota; Metazoa; Chordata; Aves; Struthioniformes; Struthionidae.
CCCGCCUGCCUGCCUCUGCGCAGGGGAUGGGAACGGGGACAUGAAACAUGUCUGUGCAGCUUCAAGGAGCCGAGCAGAAUUCCCCACUGUCAUCAUCCUCCUCCCCUCCCUCCCUGCAGGCUGCCAGGGGGAGGGCUGAUUACAGCUCUGCCAUUGUUCAAUGAUGUUGAUAUGCUCAGCUCUUUGUUACAUGUAAAGAUAAUUCCUCCCUGAAGAACUCAGACUGCAAUGAUAAGAAAGACCAGUUGCAGCAUCUAUUCUAUCCCACCUCCUUCAGUGAAAGAUUAUUCCGUAUAUCUUAUCAAAAGGAAGCAGCCUUUCAAGAACUGUACCUUGGCUUAGGCCAUCACAGCUACAAAAAUCUACUGCUACAGUAAAUCCUAGAGAGAAAGGCUGCAAUGACACAGUGUUUCCCUUCCGAAGUGGCUCUGCAGAAUGCUAAACGCACACAACGCCUGGAGCAGCUCAGGGCCCACAUCCGCAGACAUGCAUUGAAAACCUGGAAUCCUCCUUGAACUGGCAUCGCUGGGUGACCUCAUGCACCUACUUGUCAUCUCAGCAGUUUCAGCGUCACUGUUCCUCCUUAGAUUCAUUAAGCAAAUAUUUAACAUCCGAAGAAAGGAAAGCGCCCCGCGGCCUGAGCGGCCCGUCCUGCUGUUCUCCCCACAGCCAGGCCAAUAAAAACAGAGCCCCGAAGCACCUUCCUGCGGAGCUCGUACUCUGCCAGCCCCAGGCUGAUUCCAGGGCACUUCUGGCCCCCCUAGAAAUGGAGGGAAAUGGUCACAUCUACAAAAACUGAUGAAAAUCAAAUCGCGGUGACCUUCUGCAGUUGAGUUCCACAAAAGUAUGCUUAGAAGGAUCUUUGCAAGGUGAUGCACUGAGGAAAGAGGCUGGAUUUUUAAGAAGCCACAGCCUGGAGAGGAUUCUGGGAUGCCGAGGUUAAAACCCACUUUCUCCUUAGUUUUCUGGAUUUUUUCUUUCUGUCGUUCUCUUGUUAAUCACACGUGCGCAAGUCUGUUAUCAUAAGAGCUGUCUGAGGCUCCCGAACCAUUUAGCAGCAAUGUUUUAUGUGCCUGAUUUUUUAGAAAAGAAAAUGAAAUUGCAGCUUUCAUCUGAAGAGAGCUAUCAUCGCAGGAGCGAGGGGGACAACUGUUCAGCUGCUAGCACAUAACGAGAGGCAAACGUUGCCUCCUCCAUGCCAGCUCCUGACCUUGGUGGUGAGAGCUUGCUGCUAACUUAGCUGUUUACAGCCCUUGAGCCGACUGCUCCGGCGUCCAUCUGGGUGCGUGUGCAGUUGCGUUUCCAUUGCUGCCUCUCCCUCAGAUCGAGCAACAGCAGCGCGUAUUCCUCUGGCUUCCACCCCCGCCAAUCCCCCCCACUUUCCCCCUGAGAUAUGCGGACAUGUUGCUUUUUGCCCACCUCUCUCACCGCUGGGUAAGAGAGCCGGGAGAGCCGCGUGAGGGGGCCUGGAGUCGGGGAGUUAAUGCG